Molecule: ribosomal RNA, 460 nt
Filed under: Parathona cayennensis
Lineage: Eukaryota; Metazoa; Arthropoda; Insecta; Hemiptera; Cicadellidae
Description: partial large subunit ribosomal RNA
Source: RNAcentral
UAGUAAAAAAUUAAAGGUAAAUUCUGCCCUAUGAUUAAUUAAAUGGCUGCAGUAUCUUGACUGUGCAAAGGUAGCAUAAUAAUUAGUUUCUUAAUUGGUAACUUGUAUGAAUGAAUAAAUGAGAGAUUUGUUUUAUUUUUAAUAAUGUUAAAAUUUAAUUUUUAAGUAAAAAAGCUUAAUUAAUUUUUUGGGACGAUAAGACCCUAUAGAACUUUAUUUAUUUAUUUAUUUAAUAAUUUUUAGAUUUUUGUUUUAUUAAUUUUUUAAAUCUUUUUUAUUGGGGUGAUAAAUAAAUAAUAAACUUUAUUUUUUAUUUUCAUUUAUUUAUGUUUUUUUGAUCCAAUUUUUUGAUUAAAAGACUAAGUUACCUUAGGGAUAACAGCGUAAUUUUAAUGGGGAGUUCUUAUCUAUAUUAAAGUUUGCGACCUCGAUGUUGAAUUAAGAUAAGAUUGAGGGGUAG